Molecule: long non-coding RNA, 3018 nt
Filed under: Homo sapiens (human)
Lineage: Eukaryota; Metazoa; Chordata; Mammalia; Primates; Hominidae
Description: HSALNT0096620
Source: RNAcentral
CUCGGGAGGCUGAGGCAGGAGAAUAGCAUGAACCCGGGAGGCGGACUUGCAGUGAGCCGAGAUCGCACCACUGCACUCCAGCCUGGGCAACAGAGCGAGACUCCGUCUCAAAAAAAAUUAAUAAAUAAAUAAAAAAUAAAACCACAACAAUAAUAUCAUGUUGAAUUAAUAAAUUUACAUAUACUUAAAAUGCAGAACAAUAGCAUAUAUCAAGAGAGGAUUAAGUGAAAAGAAAGUAUUUUAAGGUCCUCAAUGGUCCAGGAAGUUAAUGGUGUUGAUCAACAUUAGACUUUGAUAAGAUAAAGAUGUAUGUGAUCAGUUGUAGAGCAAACACUAAAAAAUAGAUAUACAGUUAUAAUUUUCAACCUAAUGGAGAAAACUAAUGGGAAAUUUUUAAAAAAUCAAUCCAAAGAAAUUAAGAAGAAAAAAACAGCAAGCAGCACAAAUAACACAAAAUAACAUCAUAUAUUUAAAUCUAAAUUUUAUCAGUAAUUCACUUAAAUAUAAAUAAAUUGUUCCAGUUAAAAGGUAAAUAUUGUCAAACUGAGAAGCAAAUCUAAUUGUGUGUUGCUUAUGAGGAAAACAGGCAUUUCAUAAUAAAAUUAAUGGAAGUAUAAAUUGGGAAGGUACUUUGGACCCUUCCAAGGUAUUUUCAAUGAACAAACUACCAAGACUUUAACAUACGCUUCGAGCCAGGAAUUUCACUUAUUGCAAUUUACCAUCCAGUUUUGCUCUUAUUCAUGCACAAAGAUGAACAUGUGAGACUGUUAUUGCAGUGUAGUCUAUAACAGCAGAGGACUGGUCUUCGUGUAACUACUUACCAUCAGGAACCUAGUUACGUCGUAAUAAUCUAUAUAAUGGUACAUUCUUCAACAAUAAAAAAAAUAAAUGAAGUAUAUCUUUAUGUGCUGAUAGAAAAAGAUAUCCAAGCUGUAUUACAAAGUAGAAAAGAAUAAGAUGCCAAGCAAUCUGUAGGGUAUAAUCCUUUCUGUAUAAUAGAAUAUAUUAAUGUAUACAUUUUGCUUAUUCAUGAAUGAAGCAUUUAGGAAGAAUACACAAACACAUACCCAAAACAGGCAAGGGUGGUUUCCCCAGAGAAGGAGACUGCAGACGGCAGGAGGAAGGGAAAGAGAUAAAAUAUUUAAAUUGUGUGUACAACUUUUAUAUAAUAAAAUAAUACAAAAAUGAUGUAAAAAUUUUCUUUUGUCACAGUAAGGAGUUUUGCAAUUGAAAGCUGUCUCCUGGCCAGGCACGGUGGCUCAUGCCUGUAAUCCCAGCACUUUGGGAGGCCGAGGUGGGCAGAUCACUUGAGGUCAGGAGUUCGAGACCAGCCUGGCCAACAUGGCAAAACCCUAUCUCUACUAAAAAUACAAAAGUACAAAAGAAAAAUUUGCCGGACAUGUUGGUGCAUGCCUGUAGUCCCAGCUAUUCAGGAGGCUGAGGCAGGAGACCCGCUUGAACCCAGAAGGUGGCUGCCGAGAUUGCACCACUGCACUCCAGCCUGGGCAACAAAGGAAGACUCUGUCUCAAAAAAAAAAAAAAAAGAAAAGAAAAGAAAUAAAGCUGUCUCCUAUUUGGCUAGAGCAUCACCUUUGCCUUUCAUUUUCCAUUUCUGCCUAUCACACACACACACACACACACACACACACACACUUUCUGUCUCUCUCUCUCUCUCAUACUCAUCAUCCACAAAAGUCUUCUUCCUCCAGACUAUGCCAGAAUCCCAGCUACUCAGGAGGCUGAGGCAGGAGAAUCACCUGAACACUUAGGUAGUGUUCAUACUUGUAACAAUGUACCAGCAACAUAGGCCAGAGAAACUUUUUUUUUUUUUUUUUUGGAGACAAGGUCUGGAGCACAGUGGCAUGAUCUUGGCUCACUGCAACCUCUGCUUCCUGGGCUCAAGUGAUCCUCUCACCUUAGCCUCCCAAAUAGCUGAGACUACCAUAGGUUCUCCAUCAUGCCCAGCUAAUGUUUUUUUUUAUUUUCAGUAGAGAUGAAGUCUCACUAAGUUGCCCAAGUUGGUCUUAAACCCUGGGGCUCAAGCUAUCCUCCUGCCUCGGCCUCCUAAAGUGCUGAGAUUAUAUGUGUGAACCACCAUGCCCAGCUGCCAGGGAAACUUUAAUCACCACAAACUCAGUAUAAAGUAACUAGGUGAGAUACUGCUGUUUUAAAUAUGAUUGUCGUCUUAGGUUGCAUUGUAGAAUAAUGUGAUGGCUUUAUUCUAUUCUAUGGUGGCCAGGCCUCUGCAUUCAUUUCAAGCAACACUUGGCCAGGCUUGAUGAUGUAUGCCUAUAAUCCCAGCACUGUGGGAUGCCGAGGUAGCGGGAUCACUUGAGCCCAGGAGUUUGAGACUAGCCUGGGCAACAUAGCAAUGCCCCAUCUCAAUUGAAAAAAAAAUAAUAAAACAAACAACAUCAUUUUUAAGAUCCUUAUUAAAAUAUAAACUACAUACCGUAAAUUCACCUGUAUUAAGUGUUCAAUUCAAUGGUUUUUAACAUAUUUACAGAUGUAUGCUACUAUAGCUAUAAUCUAAUUUUAGAAGAUUUUCAUUGCCCCUAAAAGAAAUCUAGCACCCAUUAGUGGUCACUCCCCAUUUUUUGCAUCCUCCGCCCCACAUAACCAAAAAUUUUUCCUUUUUUUUUUUUGAGACAGGGUUUCACUCUGUCACUCAGGACAGAGUGCAGUGGGCAUGAUCAUGGCUCACUGCAGCCUUGAUCUCUUGGGCUCAAAUGAUCCUCUUCCCUCAGCCUCCCUAACUACUGGGAUUACAGGAGUGAGUCAUCUUGCCUGGCCAUAAGCACUAAUCUCUAUGUCUCUACAGAUUCACCUAUUCUAGAAAUUUUGUGUAAGUGAAAUCAUACAAUAUGUAGUCUUUUGUAUCUGGCUUCUUUAUCAUAAUGUUUUUGAGGUUUAUCCAUGUUGCGUGAAUCAGUACUUAUUUUAUUUUAUUUUAUUUUAGACAGAGUCUCACUCACUCGGUCACCCAGGCUGGAGUGUAGUGGUGCAAUCUUGGCUCAC